This is a non-coding RNA of Caenorhabditis elegans, 21 nucleotides long. The record is from Ensembl. Lineage: Eukaryota; Metazoa; Nematoda; Chromadorea; Rhabditida; Rhabditidae.
UUGAAGUAGGAUUUUGAAAUA